Non-coding RNA from Punica granatum (pomegranate), 1578 nucleotides. NCBI's taxonomy places the organism in Eukaryota, Viridiplantae, Streptophyta, Magnoliopsida, Myrtales, Lythraceae. The record is from RefSeq and is a predicted model, not a curated record.
GUGUUUUACUCAUAUACAUAUAUAUGUAUGACAUAUAUAUGUGUGCGUGUGUGUUUUGUGUAUAUAAGUGUAUGUGCGUACGAGAGUUCAUAUCGAAUUGUUCGAUUUGAAGAUGACCAUUAGUCAUAUUAUUAUCGGAGUCACACCGAUGUUUCUUUUGAGCGUUGGCUGCUAGCACCGCCGAUCUCGAAGUCCUGUCGAGGAAGUCGGUGUAGAUACCGGUAGAAGCGUCACGCUUGGGACGCUCGAUCGACGGUUUAAAAGAUUUCAGCAGCAGGGCCAUGUCCCAAAAUUCCAUCAUUAGCAGAAGGUGGAUUAUUGAACGACCUUACCAAAUUGGGAGACUGGAAAGGUGCACCUCUGGCCAUGGGAGAUUAAGAGAAGCCUCCUCGGUUGUAAGCCCCUCGUCCACUUGUGCCACGACCACCAGACAUCUGGGGUGUCCAGUUAUUAUUACCCCAGUUGGGUCCAAUGUUUCUCCAUUGACUGUUGUUACGGCCACCUCGAUCGCGACCGCAAUUGCCACGUCCUCCACGAGAAUGGCCACCCCCUCGAGCAGUUUGGGUAAGUGUCUGGAGCGCAGUUGGCUGAGUUGUGACUGAAAUAGAGGUAGGCUUCGAGUAGAAUUGCUCGAGCCUCUUUUGCUGAUGUGUGAGGUUUGUUCGAAGAGUCUCGAAGGUCAGUGGAUCCCAAUCGUUGGCAUUUGUGGUGACAAAGGACUCGUAUUCCUUAGGGAGAUCUGCAAGAGCAUAUGUAACCAGGUCCUCAUCAGAUAUGGGCUUUCCAAUUUCUCGAAGCUCAUCACCUAACACCUUCAGAUCACGAAGGUAUUUGUCGGUUCCUUGAUCAGUGAGUUUCACACGGGAAAGAAGAAUCUUGAUAUCGACGGCCCAAGAGUGUGUACGCUCCACGAAUCGAGUCUGGAGACAAUCCUAGACGGCCUUGGCAGUCGGUAGGUCAUGCACAUCUUCGAGAAGAUCCUCAGCGAUGGUUGCAAAGAUCCAAGAACGGAUGUGUUGAUCUGUGCGCAUCCACCCAGCGUGAUUGGCAUCCGUGCUCUCUGGGCAGGAGAAGCUGCCAUCGACAUAAGAGAAAAGAUCAUGAGAGAGUAAGAAAGUGGAAAAUAGGGACUUUCAUAUGAUGUAAUUCCUCUGGGUCAGAGUGAUGGUGAUCAGAUCCGUGAUGUUAGGGGUUGCGAUAGUUCCGGUGUUUGUGUGAAGAAUUUGGGUAGAGAAGGAUGGUUGAGUAGUCAGUGGAUUGAGGGAUAUUGAAUUUGCAGAAGAUGGAUUAGGUGAGGAAGAGGCAAAAGGGUUGGUAUUGGGGUUUUCUCUAUCUGAGGCCAUGGCAGGUGAUGUGAGGUGAUUGGAGGGGUUGUCGGUGAAGAAUUUUUUUUUUUAGACUAAUAUAUUGGCUCUGAUACCAUGUGAAUGGUUAAUGCCGUACCCAAUAGGGUUGGCUUCAUCGUAUAUUUAUAAUCUAAGAAUUACAAGGUAAAUACUUAUACAUGGUAUGUGUAUCUCCUAAUAAGGGUAAGAAUACCCGAAAUAUAUUGAAAUACACUUUUAUAUUAGAAUACUA